UAUUAUAAUAUACUAAUUUUUUUAUAAAAUAAAUUUUAAUAUUAAAUUUAAAUUUAAAUUAAUUAGGAAAAUAAAGUAAUAUAAAAUUUAAAUUUGGUUUAAAUAUUAAGUAAAAAUUUUAAAUAAUAAUAAUUAAAAUUUAAAAUAAUUUAUAUAUAAAUAUUUGUUAAUAAAAUUUUUAAAAAAAUAAAUUUAAUUUAAUAAUUAAUUUUAAAUAUAAAAUAAUUUUUUAUUUAGAAUAAAUUUAAAAAUUUAAUUAAAGUUGUGCCAGCAAUUGCGGUUAAACAAUUAAAUUAAUUUAAUAUUUUUAAUUGAAAUAAAUAUGUUAAAAUAAAAUAUAAUUUUUUAAAAAAAAUUUUUAGUGAAAUAUAAUUUUUUUAAUAAAUUUUUAUAAUUAUAUAUGAAAAUUUAAAAUUUAUAUAAUAAACUAGGAUUAGAUACCCUAUUAUAAUUAAUUUUAAAUAUUAAAAUUAAAUAAUUAAUUGAAUUAGAUCACUAAAUUUAAAAAUUUUGGCGGUAUUUUAUUUAUUCAGAGGAAUUUGUUUUAUAAUUGACAGUACACGAUAAGAUUAACUUAAAUUAAAAAUUUAUAUAUUUUUGUUUAUAGAGUAUUUUAAAAAAAAUAUUUUAAAAAUUAUUUGAAUAAAAUAAUUCAGAUCAAAAUGUAGUUUUAUUUAAGAAAAAAUGAAUUACAAUAAAUUAUAUUUAUGAAUUAUUUAAUUUAAAUUAAAUAUGAAAAUGGAUUUGAAAGUAAAUUUUUUUAAUUAAAAAAAUUGAUUUUAAAUUAAAAUAUGUACAAAUUGCCCGUCAUUUUCAAAUAAAUUGAAACAAGUCGUAACAAAGUAAAUUUACUGGAAAGUAAAUUUAGAAUUU
Molecule: non-coding RNA, 873 nt
Filed under: Venturia canescens
Lineage: Eukaryota; Metazoa; Arthropoda; Insecta; Hymenoptera; Ichneumonidae
Source: RNAcentral